RNAcentral lists this ribosomal RNA (254 nucleotides) under uncultured bacterium. Its description in RNAcentral is "partial 16S ribosomal RNA". It matches the Rfam family "Bacterial small subunit ribosomal RNA", at positions 524 to 776 of the family's 1533-position model. The record is from RNAcentral.
GACGUAGGGCGCGAGCGUUGUCCGGAUUUAUUGGGCGUAAAGAGCUCGUAGGCGGCUUGUUGCGUCGACUGUGAAAACCCCGAGGCUUAACCUCGGGCCUGCAUUCGAUACGGGCUGACUAGAGUUCGGUAGGGGAGACUGGAAUUCCUGGUGUAGCGGUGAAAUGCGCAGAUAUCAGGAGGAACACCGGUGGCGAAGGCGGGUCUCUGGGCCGAUACUGACGCUGAGGAGCGAAAGCGUGGGGAGCGAACAGG